GCCCGCGGCCCAUCAGCUAGUUGGCGGGGUAACGGCCCACCAAGGCAACGACGGGUAGCUGGUCUGAGAGGACGAUCAGCCACACUGGAACUGAGACACGGUCCAGACUCCUACGGGAGGCAGCAGUGGGGAAUUUUCCACAAUGGGCGAAAGCCUGAUGGAGCAACGCCGCGUGUGUGAUGAAGGUUUUCGGAUCGUAAAGCACUUUCGACCGGGACGAAAAACCUCUGGCUAACAUCCAGGGGCCUGACGGUACCGGGAGAAGAAGCACCGGCUAACUCUGUGCCAGCAGCCGCGGUAAUACAGAGGGUGCAAGCGUUGUUCGGAAUUAUUGGGCGUAAAGCGCGUGUAGGCGGAUGGCAAGUCAGAUGUGAAAGCCCUCGGCUUAACCGAGGAAGUGCGUCUGAAACUGCUGAGCUUGAGUGUCGGAGAGGAUGGCGGAAUUCCCAAGUAGAGGUGAAAUUCGUAGAUAUGCGGAGGAACACCGGUGGCGAAGGCGGCCAUUGGACGACUACUGACGCUGAGACGCGAAAGCGUGGGGAGCAAACAGGAUUANAUACCCUGGUAGUCCACGCUGUAAACGAUGAGAACUAGGUGUCGUGGGUGUUGACCCCCGCGGUGCCGCAGCUAACGCAUUAAGUUCUCCGCCUGGGAAGUACGGCCCGCAAGGCUAAAACUCAAAGGAAUUGACGGUGGCCCGCACAAGCGGUGGAGCAUGUGGUUUAAUUCGACGCAACGCGCAGAACCUUACCCAGACUUGACAUCUAUCAAACCCGGCCCAAAAGCUGGGGUGCCCGCAAGGGAAUGGUAAGACAGGUGCUGCAUGGCUGUCGUCAGCUCGUGUCGUGAGAUGUUGGGUUAAGUCCCGCAACGAGCGCAACCCUCGCCUUUAGUUGCUCCGCAAGGAGAUCUCUAGAGGGACCGCCAGUGAUAAGCUGGAGGAAGGUGGGGAUGACGUCAAGUCCUCAUGGCCUUUAUGUCUGGGGCUACACACGUGCUACAAUGGCGAGUACAAAGCGUUGCCAACCUGCGAAGGGGAGCUAAUCGCAUAAAACUCGUCUCAGUUCGGAUCGGAGUCUGCAACUCGGCUCCGUGAAGUCGGAAUCGCUAGUAAUCGCGGAUCAGCACGCCGCGGUGAAUACGUUCCCGGGCCUUGUACACACCGCCCGUCACACCAUGGGAGUCAAAUGCUCCAGAAGUCACCACACCACAGUGGUGCCCAAGGAGUG
RNAcentral lists this ribosomal RNA (1229 nucleotides) under uncultured bacterium. RNAcentral describes it as "bacterial SSU rRNA". It matches the Rfam family "Bacterial small subunit ribosomal RNA", at positions 229 to 1466 of the family's 1533-position model. The record is from RNAcentral.